This 285-nucleotide unclassified non-coding RNA is filed under the name uncultured fungus. RNAcentral's name for it is "partial contains small subunit ribosomal RNA, internal transcribed spacer 1, and 5.8S ribosomal RNA". The stretch from base 1 to 73 matches the Rfam family "Eukaryotic small subunit ribosomal RNA", at positions 1759 to 1831 of the family's 1831-position model. Lineage: Eukaryota; Fungi. The record is from RNAcentral.
UCAAACUUGGUCAUUUAGAGGAAGUAAAAGUCGUAACAAGGUUUCCGUAGGUGAACCUGCGGAAGGAUCAUUAGCGAAAUCCAAAUUGGUCGGUGCCCCGGCGCCUCUCGGGCUGGGCCCUUCCAUCACAUCAUACACCUUUGUCGAACCGUCGGGGGGAUUGGUCGACGCCCUUCCCCUCACCCUUUCAAACUCUUAAAGUUUUGGAAUGAAGUUAAGGUGAAAACCAAAAGCACAAUUUUCAACAACGGAUCUCUUGGCUCUCGCAUCGAUGAAGAACGCAGC